This 467-nucleotide ribosomal RNA is filed under the name uncultured bacterium. RNAcentral's name for it is "partial 16S ribosomal RNA". It matches the Rfam family "Bacterial small subunit ribosomal RNA", at positions 28 to 507 of the family's 1533-position model. The record is from RNAcentral.
GACGAACGCUGGCGGCGUGCUUAACACAUGCAAGUCGAACGGAAAGGCCCUGCUUUUGUGGGGUGCUCGAGUGGCGACGGGUGAGUAACACGUGAGUAACCUGCCCUUGACUUUGGGAUAACUUCAGGAAACUGGGGCUAAUACCGGAUAGGAGCUCCUGCUGCAUGGUGGGGGUUGGAAAGUUUCGGCGGUUGGGGAUGGACUCGCGGCUUAUCAGCUUGUUGGUGGGGUAGUGGCUUACCAAGGCUUUGACGGGUAGCCGGCCUGAGAGGGUGACCGGCCACAUUGGGACUGAGAUACGGCCCAGACUCCUACGGGAGGCAGCAGUGGGGAAUAUUGCACAAUGGGCGGAAGCCUGAUGCAGCAACGCCGCGUGCGGGAUGACGGCCUUCGGGUUGUAAACCGCUUUCGCCUGUGACGAAGCGUGAGUGACGGUAAUGGGUAAAGAAGCACCGGCUAACUACGUG